GACGAACGCUGGCGGCGUGCCUAAUACAUGCAAGUCGAACGCUUUUUCUUUCACCGGAGCUUGCUCCAUCGAAAGAAAAAGAGUGGCGAACGGGUGAGUAACACGUGGGUAACCUGCCCAUCAGAAGGGGAUAACACUUGGAAACAGGUGCUAAUACCGUAUAACACUAUUUUCCGCAUGGAAGAAAGUUGAAAGGCGCUCUUGCGUCACUGAUGGGUGGACCCGCGGUGCAUUGGCUAGUUGGUGAGGUAACGGCUCACCAAGGCAACGAUGCAUAGCCGACCUGAGAGGUUGAUCGGCCACACUGGGACUGAGACACGGCCCAGACUCCUACGGGAGGCAGCAGUAGGGAAUCUUCGGCAAUGGACGAAAGUCUGACCGAGCAACGCCGCGUGAGUGAAGAAGGUUUUCGGAUCGUAAAACUCUGUUGUUAGAGAAGAACAAGGAUGAGAGUAAAAUGUUCAUCCCUUGACGGUAUCUAACCAGAAAGCCACGGCUAACUACGUGCCAGCAGCCGCCGUAA
Molecule: ribosomal RNA, 523 nt
Filed under: uncultured bacterium
Lineage: Bacteria
Description: partial 16S ribosomal RNA
Rfam family: Bacterial small subunit ribosomal RNA
Source: RNAcentral